UCUCAGCCCUUUGGUUCAGUGAAGCAAAAAUGACGUUUAAUAGUAAAACAAAUGAUGUUUUUGUAUGAAAAUACGAUGUUUUUUUUCUUCAGAGUCUUUCUGAGUGUAAAAGGCCCUUCAGGAAACGCCUUGAAAUCCGAUAUGGAAAAGGUCCCCGGUGCCGCCCGUGUCGUCAGAGCAUUAAUUAACGUUAAUUGAGGACUAAUGAGAGAUGGGGCUUUGAGAUGAGGAAAAGGAGAGAAGUGAGGAGAAAUGGAGAGCGAAGAGGAAAGGGAGAAGUGAGCAAGAUGGAGGAAACAAAACUGGGUGGCAGUGCGGAAAUGGAAGGAGGAGAAAAGGCGUUUUAGGAGAAUUUGGCAUUUCAGAGCCGGGAAGAGCGGAGGCGGCGACGAGGCAGGGAGGAUUUAGAGGAGAAAAAAGGACUUUUUGGUUCAAAAUAUGUAUUGGGGUCCGUAGGACGGAAGGCGGAGGGCAAAAUGGAAACGGGAGCAAAAGAGGAAAUAAUGGCCAAAAAACAAUGAAAGAGAGGAGGAAACGAUGGAAAGAAAAAGACAGAGGAGAGAAGGAAAUAAUUGGGGGGGAAAAAGGAAAAUUGGAGAUUAAUGGAAAAAAAGAAGAGGAAAAAAUAGGGAAUAAUAGAAAAAAGAGAAGUAGAAAUGGAAGAGAAAAUUGGGGAAAAAUAGGAAAAAAAAGAAGAGAAAAGGAGAAGUAG
RNAcentral lists this long non-coding RNA (712 nucleotides) under Coturnix japonica (Japanese quail). RNAcentral describes it as "lncRNA (ENSCJPG00005001873.1)". Lineage: Eukaryota; Metazoa; Chordata; Aves; Galliformes; Phasianidae. The record is from RNAcentral.